Long non-coding RNA from Myotis daubentonii (Daubenton's bat), 2644 nucleotides. RefSeq lists it as uncharacterized. The record is from RefSeq and is a predicted model, not a curated record. The transcript has 3 exons. NCBI's taxonomy places the organism in Eukaryota, Metazoa, Chordata, Mammalia, Chiroptera, Vespertilionidae.
AACUUGCCUCUCAGCUCAGGUGUCCUCAGCAGAGUGAGUGAGGUGACCUGCAGGGAACGCUGGCCCUGGGACGGUUACCCGGCCCUGCCCUUCAGGGACGUCUGCAGGGCUCUGUGGGCUGCAGCUGCUCGCUCUCUGCUGGGUCAUCGAGAGGACGCUGGCUUAUGGCUCAGCCAGGCCACAGGUUUCUUCCACUGCCAACAGGUCACCGGGAGUUUCCCACGAGUCCAGGCUGCCAGCGGGACCGAGGACAAUCCGGCCAGCACUUACUUGACUUCUUUGAGCUUCCUGAGGCCUCCCAGGUCAGAUCGCGCCCCAGCCAGAAUCGCUAUCUGCCUGGGAUGCUCAGAGGACCGUCACGUCUGCUGCAGGGUAUGGACCAGGUCACAGAGCAGCUUGCACAGCGGCCUGGACCUGAGGGAUCUACUGCCUCUGACAUCCAGAGGCCACUGGGCGCUGUGCCUCCACCUUUGUCGGGGGGGCGGGGGGGGAGCUGGAUGGCAGCCAUUAUUAUUUACCUCAAAACAGUAACUUCUCCUGCUCAAUGCACUAGACACAAAACCAUUUCACUGAGAGGAAUUCUGAAUUCUAGUCAGAUUUGUUCUCAACUUCUGACUCUAAGAGUGUAUCAAGUCUAGAGUAGGACGGGUCGCACUCACCAGGUCCAGUGAGCUCGCGUCAUCUAUGUAACGGACCGACAGGAGUACAUCCUGUGGAUGGAAAAGGCAGUCGGGACCCUGCGACGGGCAUGCAGCUGCGGAGCUGAUCACCCAGAAGUGAGAUAAGGAGGGGAUAUGCCGGCCUUGGAGCGGAGGGAAGGCAGCUUAGAUUGAGCCGUGAAGCACAAGGGGAGGCACUGUCGGUGCGUAUGGGCACCAGGUGAGGUGGCCUUUAAGUCACUCAAGCAAAGUAAACCCACGGGUCCAGCAGCAGCAGAAGGGCCCCUGUGGCUAUAGUCUGGGUGACUGAACAGCCAUUUUCUAGGUUGUUUCUUCUAUUUGUUUUUCUCCUCCUUCUCUGUCUCCUCCUCCUCUCCCUCCUGGUCCUCCUCAUGCUCCUUCUAUUCUUCCUCCUCCACUUGCUCCUCCCAUUCCCACUCUUCUUCUUCCUUCUCCUCGACCUUUUCCCCCCUCCUUUUGCCCAAGCGAAAUCAAAAGGUUAAUGAGGAUGUGCUGCUGUCGGCACUUCCUGUGUCUUUCAAAACUUUCCCGGUGGCACAAACCUCUCCUGUUCAUCCAGGCCCGUGGCACAGCUUUCCAUUGACCACUUACCUAGCUCCAGGCAGUUCCAAUAGCUUCCGGCUACCCUUCCCCACUACAGUAGCCCUCACUCAUCAGCUCUGGGUGCGAGGGCUCAUUCUGCUGCUUUGUCUAUUUCCGUUAUGUAUUCCAGAAUCAGGCCAACUACGGAUGGGUCUGAACAAAUGUGGACCUACUUCAAAAUGGGCCUGAGCUAAAACUCAUCAGUCUUGUGAGCCUCAAAAGCUCCUAGUCUUAGUGCAGGGCCAGAGAAAAUUUUUUUUUUUUCUGAGAACAAUUUCAGUUUAGAACCAUGUCAUCACUGAAUUAUCUGGUUGUUUCUUUCUUGCAAAUAGUCACUUAUCCUGCUUUACAAAACAAAACAAAACAAAUAAUGCCAUCAUUCCACUGGGGAAAUGCCUGAAUUAAAGUGAACAAUAUACACGUUUUCUUGUCUGUUGGUCUUUUCACAAGAGGUUCUGGCCUUAAUUUUUUUUAAGUUUAAACUUGCUCAUGUCAGGGACUGCUUAAUGGGCUGACUGCAUGCUUUGUGAUUCCAGUGACAACACUUUCUACUUCACCGGGACUUCUGCCCAAGUGGAUCGGGGAAGAAAGCACUGUGCUUGCUGCCCACAGUUCCGGGCACAUGACUCACUAGCCAGCACCGGUGGGUUCCGGUCUGCCUCCUUGAAGCUGCUUUGACUUGCAGUGUUUUACUGUGAUCAGGUCUACUGUUUUCCCAUGGAGAGGCUCAGCCUCCAGCAUCUGGCCUUCAGAGAAGAGACUCACCUGGCUCUUGAGAUGUGCUGUUCCCACUCUCCCCUCUGUUCCUCAGUGUCCUGGUGGGAGGUUCGCCAGCUGGGCAUGCACAGAGUGUGGGCGAGGCCUCACAUGACCAAUCCACUCUAACACUUCUGCCUCGUGAACUUUUGAACUGCUUCUUCUUUAUUAAAACAAGAGACAGUGGGCACUUGCAUGUCACAUUUAUCAGGCCGUCACUGGAUGCAUUUGACAGUCAAUCAUCCCAGUAAACUUUUAGAGCCUUUUCUAGUCACCCACUCUGCAGAUCUGAAUGCAGAGUCUCUGUCUGGCUGGCCCAAAUUAAUACAUUCCCUCUCAUCCCAAUCUACGUUUCUUUGAACAUUCUUCUCCAAUAUGAAUUACUUACACACAUGUUCCAUGCUUUUCUGCUUGUGUGAGUCACUGCACUCAUGUAGUUCUCCCAAGGAGCAGGACACUUCCUCAGGGUCACAUGUUGUCCUUCGCAUUUAGGUUCAGCUGGCAACGGCUGCCCGAGAGCUCGCUGCCGCCAUCACACCUAGUGUGUUUCCUUUUUUUUUUUUUUUGGGGGGGGGGGAGGGCACAUUUUCCAAGUCUGUGACAAAUCAGGAAUUAUUCUAGGUUCC